Molecule: long non-coding RNA, 2244 nt
Filed under: Nicotiana tabacum (common tobacco)
Lineage: Eukaryota; Viridiplantae; Streptophyta; Magnoliopsida; Solanales; Solanaceae
Description: long non-coding RNA (NTAB_LNC011618)
Source: RNAcentral
UACCAAACAGACUAUGCUAUAAACCUUAAAAUUAUUAUAUUGCAACUAAUGCUAACAACUUGAAAUUGAACUAUGAAACUACAUAUUCACUAUACUACUACAUAUGCACUUGUUCUAUCAAAGUUACAAUUCUAAAAAAUAUACACAUGCUAGGUACAGUGUUUCAAACAUAUGUGAGUCGGCAUUUUUUAUUACAAACAAACUAUUAGAAACCUAUACUAACUUGAAAUUUUACAUAUUUUAUAACAACCAAGCUAGCAGACCUUCAGCAUGUAGCAUUUCCUACUAGACAAAUAGCCAUCCAAACACAUCCAAACCACAUGAAUACUGCAAAAGACUAAAACUAAUAAAGGUAUUGAGAAAACAUGAAAAUAAAAUUAAAAGGGGAGAAUUUCAUUAGAUCUUCAAUUUCAGUUACAUAUUGCCAAUAGGACGACAGACUUGCACUUCAAAGAUCAUGUAAAGUCUAAGAAAUACCUGGAUAUUGAAACAAAACAAAAACGGAAUAAGAAGUUCAGCAAGCAAAGAAGUAUGAGUAAAUCAGCAGCUCAACAGCAUUAUUCAGCUUCUUAGACCAAUCUUAAACCCAGAAAAAUAGAAGUCCUUCGAAAACUUUUAGUUUCUUACUAACAGGGAGAAACCAAGGAACAAUUCUCAACCAUUUUCAACCAAAUAAUGCAAAAACUUUGAGUAUUUUUAGGGUCUAAAUUUCUGAUGUUUCUUUUCAGAACUUUUAGGCAGAAGAUAAUGCUAAAUGUGUGUGUGUGUGAGUAAGAGAAUGUUUUCCUUUUAUAGAGUGCACAAAAAGGCAUCAAAAAAGCAUAUUCUAACCUAAAAUUCUGAAUUUUUAGGAUAGUACAACAUCUUUUUACAACUGUUUAUCCUUUUCCUACCCAAUUUCAGCAUCUUUUGCAACAACUAGGAUAACUAUGCACCUUCUAGAAACUUCUCCUAUUUUCAUACCCUUUUUACUUUUGAAAUUUUACCAUUUAUUCAGAAGUUCUGACUUAAUACGUUUUCUUAUUUUAAUUUGAUACCUUAUCCUAAAUCUAGAAGCUUCUCAUAUAAAAAUCAUACUUCAUAUUCCCAAAUUAACCUCCUAUGUUUUCAAUUGCUCAAUUAAGACCCUAGGAGUUUUUUACCAAUUACAAAUCCUUAACAAACAAAAUCAAAUGGGCUACUAUCAGUAUUUGAAGCAAACAAUCAAAGUUAAAAGGCAAAACAUCUGAAAAUUUUAAAAAAUAAACCUAAUCUCUAAACUGAACCAAAUCCAUAAGAAAAACUUUAUAAAGCUUAACAGACUAUCAACUUAACGAUGAGCAUGGGCAGACACUUUAAACAAACAAACAACUUGAAUAACACUGAACUUAAACUAAUCAUACACUAAUUAAAAUAAAUAAUUAACAAUUUAUGCUAAUCAUGCAGUCAGAGAAAACCAAAAGGGAAUUAACAAUUAUUCAUGACUUAGGCUAAAUUGAUCAAUGAAUUGAAAUUACAAUAAUUACUCCCCAACCAAAUGGUUUUGAAUGUGACCAAUGAUUGAAACAGGGAUGACUGUAAAAAAAUGAAGACCAAACAAACUUAUAAACUGAAAAUUACCUAAGAGAAACUGACUCGAAUUUUGAAGAAAAAGCAAGGAAAAUGGAGAGGUAAAUGAAACCUUACCAUUUGAGGAGCAGAAAGCAAACAAAGGAGCUACAGAGCUCCGUCUCUGCCUCGAUUGACCAACAGAGGUCUUCUCUUUUAGGGUAUCCAGUCUUGCAUGGAUUUGACCGGAUCUCCUUGAAAUAGAAGACUUUUGGAAGUCUAACUUUUGAAGGAAAAUAUUAAGGAGCUUGGAUUCGGACAAAACAGAGACCCCUACUUCGAUUUGCUAUUUCGGAGUUUUGCAGGGUUAUUUGGAAAAAUCAGUGAGGUAUUUAGGAAGAGGAGGGUACAGGGCGUCAUGGUGAAACUUUGGGUCGAUUUGGAAGGAUUAGGGUUUUUAGGCAUCGAUCUUAGAUUUAAAAUUCGAGAUGUUUUGUGAUGAUUCGAAUGAACUGGUUAGAGAUUUGGAAAUGGGAGAUGACGGGGGUUAACUGGUGAGAAUUUGGGGCCAUCUGGAGAAGUUUCGCCACCGUGUAGCGAUUUCCGACGGCGGAGGGCGGUAGAGGAGAUGGGGGAAUUUGGGGCGGCUAGGGUUUCUUUUGUUUGGGUGUUAGAAACAACUAAGGAGUUUUGAAGGGGGAGGAGUGUUUCGAAAAG